UACGAAGGGGGCGAGCGUUGUUCGGAAUUACUGGGCGUAAAGGGCGCGCAGGCGGCCCUUGAAGUCAGGCGUGAAAGCCCCGGGCUCAACCUGGGAGGUGCGCUUGAUACUCGAGGGCUUGAGUGCGGGAGAGGAGAGUGGAAUUCCCAGUGUAGAGGUGAAAUUCGUAGAUAUCAGGAGGAAUACCGAUGGCGAAGGCAGGUCUCUGGGCUGACACUGACGCUCAUGCACGAAAGCGUGGGGAGCAAACAGG
RNAcentral lists this ribosomal RNA (253 nucleotides) under uncultured bacterium. RNAcentral's name for it is "partial 16S ribosomal RNA". It matches the Rfam family "Bacterial small subunit ribosomal RNA", at positions 524 to 776 of the family's 1533-position model. The record is from RNAcentral.